UUAGAGUUUGAUCCUGGCUCAAGACGAACUCUGGCGGCGCGCCUAACACAUGCAAGUCGAACGGAGCUUAGAGAGCUUGCUUUUUAAGCUUAGUGGCGAACGGGUGAGUAACGCGUGAGUAACCUGCCCUAGAGUGGGGGACAACAGUUGGAAACGACUGCUAAUACCGCAUAAGCCCACGGUACCGCAUGGUACUGAGGGAAAAGGAUUUAUUCGCUUUAGAGAUGGACUCGCGUCCAAUUAGCUAGUUGGUGAGGUAACGGCCCACCAAGGCGACGAUUGGUAGCCGGACUGAGAGGUUGAACGGCCACAUUGGGACUGAGACACGGCCCAGACUCCUACGGGAGGCAGCAGUGGGGGAUAUUGCACAAUGGGGGAAACCCUGAUGCAGCGACGCCGCGUGGAGGAAGAAGGUUUUCGGAUUGUAAACUCCUGUCGUUAGGGACGAUAAUGACGGUACCUAACAAGAAAGCACCGGCUAACUACGUGCCAGCAGCCGCGGUAAAACGUAGGGUGCAAGCGUUGUCCGGAAUUACUGGGUGUAAAGGGAGCGCAGGCGGGAAGACAAGUUGGAAGUGAAAACCAUGGGCUCAACCCAUGAAUUGCUUUCAAAACUGUUUUUCUUGAGUAGUGCAGAGGUAGAUGGAAUUCCCGGUGUAGCGGUGGAAUGCGUAGAUAUCAGGAGGAACACCAGUGGCGAAGGCGGUCUACUGGGCACCAACUGACGCUGAGGCUCGAAAGCAUGGGUAGCAAACAGGAUUAGAUACCCUGGUAGUCCAUGCCGUAAACGAUGAUUACUAGGUGUUGGGGGAUUGACCCCCUCAGUGCCGCAGUUAACACAAUAAGUAAUCCACCUGGGGAGUACGACCGCAAGGUUGAAACUCAAAGGAAUUGACGGGGGCCCGCACAAGCAGUGGAGUAUGUGGUUUAAUUCGAAGCAACGCGAAGAACCUUACCAGGUCUUGACAUCCGAUGCAUAACACAGAGAUGUGUGAAAUCCUUCGGGACAUCGAGACAGGUGGUGCAUGGUUGUCGUCAGCUCGUGUCGUGAGAUGUUGGGUUAAGUCCCGCAACGAGCGCAACCCUUAUUGCCAGUUACUACGUUAAGAGGACUCUGGCGAGACUGCCGUUGACAAAACGGAGGAAGGUGGGGAUGACGUCAAAUCAUCAUGCCCUUUAUGACCUGGGCUACACACGUACUACAAUGGCGUUAAACAAAGAGAAGCAAGACCGCGAGGUGGAGCAAAACUCAAAAACAACGUCUCAGUUCAGAUUGCAGGCUGCAACUCGCCUGCAUGAAGUCGGAAUUGCUAGUAAUCGCGGAUCAGCAUGCCGCGGUGAAUACGUUCCCGGGCCUUGCACA
Molecule: ribosomal RNA, 1363 nt
Filed under: uncultured bacterium
Lineage: Bacteria
Description: 16S ribosomal RNA
Rfam family: Bacterial small subunit ribosomal RNA
Source: RNAcentral